CGUCUAUAUACGUAUAGCAUAUCAAUAAGCGGAGGAAAAGAAACUAACAAGGAUUCCCCUAGUAACGGCGAGUGAAGCGGGAAGAGCUCAAAUUUGAAAUCUUCAAGGUUUUACCUUGACGAAUUGUAGUUUAAAGAAGUGUUUUCGGUUAGAGGAGUAGUAAAAGUUCUUUGGAAUAGGACAUCAUAGAGGGUGAGAAUCCCGUAUUUGACUCAUUCUUUCUAGCUUUGUGAUACACUUUCAACGAGUCGGAUUGUUUGGGAAUGCAGUCCAAAAUGGGUGGUAAAUUUCAUCUAAAGCUAAAUAUUGGCGAGAGACCGAUAGCGAACAAGUACCGUGAGGGAAAGAUGAAAAGAACUUUGAAAAGAGAGUUAAACAGUACGUGAAAUUGUCAAAAGGGAAGCGUUUGACACCAGUGUUGUUUUUCCGAAAAUCAAUUACAAAUGGUUCAUGUUUGAAGUAGUUAUGACUUCAUCGGCUUGCUGCCUUAGUUUAUGGUACUUUCUUUGAUGCACUUUUCGGUUAACAAGUCAACAUCAAUUUCUUUUGUUGUAAAAGGGUAUGAGGAAGGUGGCUUUCUUUUCGGAGAAAGUGUUUAUAGCCUUGUACCUCUGCAAUCGGAGAGAUUGAGGUCUGCAGCGUAGAUCCUUCGGGGUUAGAUACAUUUGUGCUAAGUUAUAGCUUUUCAUAGACAACUUGUUGACUAUGUUAAGUCUUGUAGCUUACUCGCUUAUGCUAUUUUACCUACGCUUAGGAUGUUGACGCGCGUGUGUGCGUG
RNAcentral lists this ribosomal RNA (778 nucleotides) under uncultured Neocallimastigales. Its description in RNAcentral is "partial large subunit ribosomal RNA". It matches the Rfam family "Eukaryotic large subunit ribosomal RNA", at positions 26 to 639 of the family's 3401-position model. Lineage: Eukaryota; Fungi; Neocallimastigomycota; Neocallimastigomycetes; Neocallimastigales. The record is from RNAcentral.